CCUACGGGUGACUGCAGUGGGGAAUAUUGCACAAUGGGGGGAACCCUGAUGCAGCGACGCCGCGUGGGUGAAGGAGUAUUUCGGUAUGUAAAGCCCUAUCAGCAGGGAAGAACAAUGACGGUACUUGACUAAAAAGCACCGGCUAAAUACGUGCCAGCAGCCGCGGUAAUACGGAUGGGGCAAGCGUUACCCGGAUUUACGGGGUGUAAAGGGAGCGCAGGCGGCGCGUUAAGCCGGGUGUGAAAGCCCGCGGCCCAACCGCGGGAGUGCAUUGGGAACUGGCGCGCUGGAGUGCAGGAGGGGUAGGCGGAAUUCCUGGUGUAGCGGUGAAAUGCGUAGAUAUUAGGAGGAACACCAGUGGCGAAGGCGGCCUACUGGACGGUAACUGACGCUGAGGCUCGAAAGCGUGGGGAGCAAACAGGAUUAGAUACCCCAGUAGUC
Molecule: ribosomal RNA, 441 nt
Filed under: uncultured bacterium
Lineage: Bacteria
Description: partial 16S ribosomal RNA
Rfam family: Bacterial small subunit ribosomal RNA
Source: RNAcentral